GAUGAACGCUAGCUACAGGCUUAACACAUGCAAGUCGAGGGGUAACGAGAGGAAAGCUUGCUUUCCUUGUCGACGACCGGCGCACGGGUGAGUAACGCGUGUCCAACCUGCCCCCAACUAGGGAAUAACCUUGCGAAAGUAAGACUAAUACCCUAUAAUUUCCUCAGAUGUCAUCUGACGAGGAAUAAAGAUUUAUCGGUUGUGGAUGGGCAUGCGUCUGAUUAGCUUGUUGGCGGGGUAACGGCCCACCAAGGCAACGAUCAGUAGGGGUUCUGAGAGGAAGGUCCCCCACAUUGGAACUGAGACACGGUCCAAACUCCUACGGGAGGCAGCAGUGAGGAAUAUUGGUCAAUGGGCGGAAGCCUGAACCAGCCAAGUAGCGUGCAGGAUGACGGCCCUAUGGGUUGCAAACUGCUUUUAUACAGGAAUAAAGUUAGCCACGUGUGGUUAUUUGUAGGUACUGUAUGAAUAAGGACCGGCUAAUUCCGUGCCAGCCGCCGCCGUAA
RNAcentral lists this ribosomal RNA (506 nucleotides) under uncultured bacterium. Its description in RNAcentral is "partial 16S ribosomal RNA". It matches the Rfam family "Bacterial small subunit ribosomal RNA", at positions 28 to 523 of the family's 1533-position model. The record is from RNAcentral.